AGUUAGCCGAUGCUUAUUCCUCAGGUACCGUCAAAAUUCUUCCCUGAGAAAAGAGGUUUACAAUCCAAGAACCUUCCUCCCUCACGCGGUAUUGCUCCGUCAGGCUUUCGCCCAUUGCGGAAAAAUUCCCCCA
RNAcentral lists this ribosomal RNA (133 nucleotides) under uncultured bacterium. RNAcentral describes it as "partial 16S ribosomal RNA". The record is from RNAcentral.